RNAcentral lists this ribosomal RNA (324 nucleotides) under uncultured eukaryote. RNAcentral's name for it is "partial 18S ribosomal RNA". It matches the Rfam family "Eukaryotic small subunit ribosomal RNA", at positions 1470 to 1796 of the family's 1831-position model. The record is from RNAcentral.
CCCUUAGAUGCUCUGGGCCGCACGCGCGCUACACUGGUCGAUGCAACGAGUUUCUUUCCUUGGCCGACAGGCCUGGGCAAUCUUUGAACAUCGAUCGUUAUCGGGAUAGAUUCUUGUAAUUUUUGAUCUUAAACGAGGAAUUCCUAGUAAACGCAAGUCAUCAGCUUGCAUUGAUUACGUCCCUGCCCUUUGUACACACCGCCCGUCGCACCUACCGAUUGAAUGGUCCGGUGAAAUCUCCGGACUGGCGUGAGUCGGAGCAAUCUGACAAACACCGGAAAGUUGAUUAAACCUUACCAUUUAGAGGAAGGUGAAGUCGUAACA